ACAGAGAGGUUACAGACAACCAAGAUGCUCAUGUUUCCCCCUGUUCCUUUAUUGUGCCACUGUUUCUUUCAACGUUUCCUGUGGAAGAUAGUUGGAAAUUGGUACAUUAAAUUACCAAUAGAAAAAAAUCCUCUUAGACAUUGUACAUAGCCAGCUCUUAUAAUAUCCUAAUUCCUGAGACAUAUUAUUGUGAGCAUCCAUUGAAGGCUUUAAAACCUUUCUUUUUAAACACAUUGAAAAAGCAGUUAAUUUAAUUCAGUAUAUAUCUCUAAUUUGUGGUGUAAUUUUCAUAGUUCCUUGCCUGACGUUGGAGUGAUAAUGAUUUUUUCAUUAUUUUCAUUAAGAUUCGUGACAUGUUCACCCAACUCGAUAUGGACCAGCUCUUGGGACCCGAGUGGGAUCUUUACCUCAUGACCAUCAUUGCAUUGCUAUUGGGAACAGUUAUAGCUUACAGGCAGAGGCAGCACCAAGACAUGCCUGUGCCCAGGGCUCCAGGGCCACGACCAGCUGCACCCCAGCAGGAGGGGCCACAAGAGCAGCAGCAACCACAGUAACAGCCGCCACAUCCAGCCUUGACCAGUGAAAACUAAGGAACUUGUUUGCUGAGAACACUUACAUUUGAUAUAGAACUUGGGAUCAGUGGCCACUUCCUGGAAGAGGCACAAGGAAGCAUUGAAUUCCUAAAGCUGCUUAGAAUCCGAUGCCUUUAUUUUCAGGGAUAAGUAACUUAACUAAGUUGAAUGUUUGUUUCAGUGCCAUAUGGAAUAACAACUCAGUGGCUUUUCACUUUUAUUUUCUUUUUUUCUGAAACAUAUGAGACACUCAGUAAUUUCUGCUGCAUUCAGCUGUUUAUGUCUAAUCCUUUAGGUCAUUCUUUCAAUAUGCAUAAGUUCUUAUAUCAAACAUCUUUGUCUUGUGCAUUGACACUAAAAACUGAUCAGUGUAAAAAGGAAAACUCAUAUAUUUAAAAGUCUGAAAGUAAACUUACCUUUUAAGUAAGUUAAGAAAAAAAUGUCUUCAAAGUAUUUUGGAACUACAAUAACUGAAAAAUUUUUACCACACCACAUGCAAGUAUACAUAUGCCUCAUAUUUUUUAUUUUAAAAGGGAAGGUUGGGAAGUUUCGUAUAGGUGAUUGUCAUAAUUCAUACCAUGCUGUUGUCCUUCAAAAACUGAAAGGCUUUGUUAAAGAGUUCUAUGUGAACAUCAACUCUUUGUAAUAGAAUAUAUGUAAAACUCUGUGAACUGACUUAUUGCACUAACGUGAAUUUUCCCCACCUACUCAGUGUAAUUUGCUUGCUUGUUUUGAGUGUACAGAGCCUUGACCCAGAAGCCAGAGGUUGGACUAGCUGGGAGAAAUUGGAAAGCAACAUUAAAGAAAUUUGGAUCAGUACCAAGAUCAUAGACAUACUUUCCCCAAAGUUGAAGUAUUUGUUCCCAGGUUUUAUUUUAAAAUACUUUACAUUUUUUACCGCUCAAAGAAGAUAUCAAUAUCUUGAAUUCUUCAAAUAUGAAAUAGCAUUGUCAGGAUAUGGCAUACAGUAACUGCCCUACACUCAGAGAACUGAAGAUGGAUUAAGCACAGUGACUGACAAAGCCAAGGCCUGUAUGGACUACUGUGUAUGUUCAGGUGGCUUUUAUUUCUUACAGUUUUAUGUUACGGUAAAAAGUUAACCAUUUGCUUAGCUGUCAUAUUUACCACCCUCUUACUGUUAAUGUUAGGAAAUUCAAGGCUACUACACUUCAUGGUUACCUAGUUAAAUAGAUGGGGAAAAACAAAAAUAACAAAAAAGAAAAUUGAGAACUUCGUGUAAUCUCUCAUGAAAGAAUUAAACCAAAUUUGAAUUUUGUUUUAUGGGUAAAUGGUGGCAUUUGCCAUCCGUUAUCUAUUCUGAGCCUACAUUAGUAAGUGAACAGUCCACUGAUGUCAAUCUUUAUAUAUUAACCUUUGGACUGUUUUCCUAUAAUCCCCCAUCUGCCAGAAAACUUGAAGAGUUUGUUUCUUGUUGAGUUAUAAUGCUUUGGUUUUUGAAGUUGGGAUUGUAUUUAGAAUUAGAUUUGAUUAGUCUAUAAUGAACAUGAAGGAUUUAAAUGUGAAGUUGUAUACUUUUUUGUGUGCUUAGAAUAUUAAGGGAAACCUGGUAAGCAAGCUUUCCUCCCAGAUAUUUGCUUCCAAAUUUGAAGAGGUGGUCACAGAGAGGACCAUACAUAUAAAAGCAUAUCUGUAAGAGGUACAGAAUGUUGCUCUCAAAAGUGUAAUGUUGCUUUGGGCUGCUCUUAUAAAUAUAGGGACCCACUUAGUCUCUUGCCCUUAGAAAUUCGAGUGCAGAUGGUACACUUUGUCAAGGUCUUCAUUGCUCCCUCUGCCCCCACCCUUCAGAAUAAGUGUAAUCUAUGUAGCAGCCACACACACUUCUUUAGGAGGCACUGUUUUAAUUUAGAAGCUGAAGAAGCUGGGCAUGAAGGUACAUGCCUGUAGUCCCAGCUACUCUGAAGGCUGAAGCAACAGCCUGGGCAACAUAGUAAGACCCCCGCUCAAAAGAAAAGAGUUGUUGAAAAACCCUGUAAGAUAACUUACCAACUUCCAGUUUUUUCUUACGCUAUCCGUCUAAUUUUUUCUUGGAUUGCAUUUUUUUAAAUCUGUCUUUACUUCCCUCCAUUAGUACUUGGAGAAAACAUUUCUUAAACAGCAUGCGCUUGGGCUGGAUGGGAAAGUGAAGUCUUAUUCUUCAUGUAAUAAUAGACUUCCUGUUAGUUUACUCCUUGCUGUGUCCUUUUUUAUUAUUAAUACUGCAAAUAUCCUUUCCUUAGUUUGCUUCUUUCUCUUGUUUUACCCUGGGCCACUUGGUUUCAGAAAUUUGAAUGUAAAAUAACUCAGUUCUUAUGGCUUCUUUUAAAGACUGUCUCAAAAUACUUUGCUUCCUUUUUCUUUUUGUUCAUGGGACAUGGUACCUAAGCAAAUAGGGGUUGGGUUUGGUUUUCUCCUAAAAAUAAUGCACAAUACUUAUGUAAUCAAAUGGCAUCCAUUUGAAUAAAGUGACAAUAACUAAAGCUAGUUAAUGUCAGUGACAUUAAACUAACUCCAGGAUUCAGGAGUUUUAAUGUUAGAAUUUAGACUUACCAGAUAGAGUGUGGCUUCAUUUCUCCACGGUAGCCCACCUCUCCUGAUACCUUUUGUAGUCUGUCUUUCAGCCUUCGAAGGUGAUGACAUUAGCGCUCUAUUUAGCGUCGCUUCUCUUGUGCAUAUGCUUUGUUCGUUAGCCAAUGGUUUCAAAGUCCAUUCUAUUUUAUUUUGCAAAGGUGGCACUGGUGGUGGGGGGGGGGGGUCCAAAUUUUUCCUUUUUGUGUUUGAAGUUUUUUCUGUUUUCUGGGUGAGGCUUACUUUAGUUUUCAUUAAUAGUCAAUGGCACAGAAAAAGUAAAUCAGAAUUCAUUAUUUAGUAUUUAAAUCAGAUUAACUUUAUGAAUCAUUAAUCUUGAUGUUCUUGAGGAUUUGUUACCCUUUUGCAUAUAAGGUUAAUUUCUGGGACUUUUACCACUAAACUGUUUUGUCUCUGUACCAUUGGGAAGCUUUAGAAACUUCCACCAGUAAUCUGGUGAUGAUCUGAUAGUUGAUUUAUUUAAGGAGCCUCCAGGAAACCUGAUUAUUUUAUAUAUAGAAUUUCAUUCAUUUUUGCCUCUUUUCUCUGCUCUUCAUGUUUGUUCUUCAAACCAUCGUUUUGGAAGUAUGCAUGCUGGCCUGUAGAUGAAAACCACAAUUCUUCAUGUGUAUAGCAUGUGUACUAAUGUCUAACUACAUCUGCAAAAACUUCCUCUACAGAGGUUUGGACUAACAUUUCACAUACACAUUUCAAAGACAAGAUGCUUCAGGUAAAUCACCCAUUUACCUACCAAGAAGACCAGGGCUAUUUUUGCUCCAGUGACAGCUGGUAUUUGUUUUGAAAGUGAACUAGUAUAUAUUACACAAUAUUUGGAACAGAAGUAUGCAAAAAAUAAUCAGAGCAAAAGAAAACUUCUAUUUUUAUGCAAACUUUUUCAUCAGUCAUUGCUCAAAUAUGAGUGAAAAUAUGCAAUUAGUGAAUGCCAUAUUUUCUGAGGCACUACCUGGUUUUUAAAUGUGUAGUAUUCAUUGAAAAGAAGCUAAAUUUAUCCAUCCACUUGGUCUUUUAAGAAAAUUUAAAAUGACCCCAAAUAACAAUAUUUGUAUCUUAAGAUGACUGUUUGCACAAGUAAAAAGUCUGAUUUUGUACACAAGAAGGAUCCCUUGGUUAUGUGCAGUGAGCCAUCUCACAUGUACUGUUUUUACGAAUUUGGAUUGACAUACAAGAUAACACUAUUUCUCUUUCAUUUAAAAAAAAAAAAAUGUUGAUAGGAUCCAAGUAACCACUAUAAAUAUUUAGAAGAGGAAGUUUAAAAAGACCAUGCUGGCAUUGUGAAGGAAUACCAUGGUAGACUUUUUUGUGUGUGUGAAUUUAUUUUGUAUUUAAUGAAAUGCAGUAUAAAAACUGGUGACGUGUAAUAUAAUUGUGUAAACAGAAACCCUGUUAAUAGAGAGAUGUACAGAUUCGUUUUAUACUGUAUCUUGAAACUUGUGAAAUAAAGAUUCCACCUCUGGUUUUCCUGUAUCCUGUAGUGUACCGCCACAAAGCACCUUUCCAGCCACUCCUCUUUUAACCUGAAUGAUCCAACUUUUUAAGGAAAGUUUUUAGAAAUUUAGAAACUUCUGUAAAACAUUUGGCGGGGGGGGGGGGUGCAUUUUUAAUCCGU
This 4764-nucleotide long non-coding RNA is filed under the name Marmota monax (woodchuck). The record is from RNAcentral. Lineage: Eukaryota; Metazoa; Chordata; Mammalia; Rodentia; Sciuridae.